Etheostoma spectabile (orangethroat darter) is the source of this 120-nucleotide long non-coding RNA. RefSeq lists it as uncharacterized. The record is from RefSeq and is a predicted model, not a curated record. NCBI's taxonomy places the organism in Eukaryota, Metazoa, Chordata, Actinopteri, Perciformes, Percidae. The transcript is spliced from 3 exons.
CAUUCACUCAUAUUCAUAUCUGGAAGCUGUCCAUUACAACCAAAGUCUGAUCUGCUGGCCACUGAGCAGCUCCACUGGAGCGGAUGGGGUUAAGGGCCUUACUCAAGGACAGCUAAGUGG